ACUUAGAUAGUUUAAAAAAAAAUUCUGAUUUGUGGUGUCAGAGAUAUGAAAUUUUCAUUCUUAGUC
RNAcentral lists this transfer RNA (66 nucleotides) under Diamphipnoa annulata. Its description in RNAcentral is "tRNA-His". Lineage: Eukaryota; Metazoa; Arthropoda; Insecta; Plecoptera; Diamphipnoidae. The record is from RNAcentral.